This is a long non-coding RNA of Cyprinus carpio carpio, 609 nucleotides long. NCBI's taxonomy places the organism in Eukaryota, Metazoa, Chordata, Actinopteri, Cypriniformes, Cyprinidae. The record is from Ensembl.
AUGAUACUGGAUUUGAAUAUUAAAGUGACUGCAUUUACCAGCUGCUUUUGUCUUCAAUUUUUAAUCUAUAAAAACACAGGAAAAUCAUUCGUAUUGGCUGCUUUUUUUGCUUGUAUUUAUGUUUUUAUUAUUAUUAUUAUUUUUUGCUCUAACAAGAAUUAAUCUAUAUUUAAUUAAAUUAAAUUUCUGCAUCUAAACACCUAUAAACCUAAAACAUGCUCUAUUAAACUAUUGUUAGCAAUUUCUUUAUCAUCCAGUUUAACUGGUGUACACACUUUUAUUUUCAUAAUAUUUUUUUUUUUUUUUAGAUAAUAGACAGUUACAGUGGUCUAUAAUAAAUAUUAACAGGUUUUUGUUCAAGCUGCUUAAAAAUGUUUGAAGUAGGCUCAUUUUUUUAAAUAUAAAUCCUAAAAAAAAAAAAAUAAAAAAAAUAAAAAACUGGGAAACAGCCAUGUUUACGAAAAGGUGCUUAACCUAUAGAAAAAUAAAACUAUGAAUUAAAUUAGUAUUUAAUUUUUAGUAAUGACCAUUUUUGUUGUCAUAAAAACCUUCUUCUUUACAAUACAGAAUAACGAUUGUCAAUAGUAAAUAUUAUGAAAAACAAUAACU